RNAcentral lists this ribosomal RNA (253 nucleotides) under uncultured bacterium. RNAcentral's name for it is "partial 16S ribosomal RNA". It matches the Rfam family "Bacterial small subunit ribosomal RNA", at positions 524 to 776 of the family's 1533-position model. The record is from RNAcentral.
UACGAAGGGGGCUAGCGUUGCUCGGAAUCACUGGGCGUAAAGCGCGUGUAGGCGGCAGCGCAAGUCGGGCGUGAAAUCCCACGGCUCAACCGUGGAAGUGCACUCGAAACUGCGCAGCUAGAGUCCUGGAGAGGAAGGUGGAAUGCUUGGUGUAGAGGUGAAAUUCGUAGAUAUCAAGCGGAACACCGGUGGCGAAGGCGGCCUUCUGGACAGUGACUGACGCUGAGACGCGAAAGCGUGGGGAGCAAACAGG